GACGAAGGGGGCUAGCGUUGUUCGGAAUUACUGGGCGUAAAGCGAGUGUAGGCGGUUGUUCAAGUUGGAUGUGAAAGCCUUGAGCUUAACUCAAGAAAUGCAUUCAGGACUGAGCGACUAGAGUACCGGAGAGGAUAGUGGAAUUCCCAGUGUAGUGGUGAAAUACGUAGAGAUUGGGAAGAACACCAGUGGCGAAGGCGGCUAUCUGGACGGUUACUGACGCUAAGACUCGAAAGCGUGGGGAGCAAACAGG
RNAcentral lists this ribosomal RNA (253 nucleotides) under uncultured prokaryote. Its description in RNAcentral is "partial 16S ribosomal RNA". It matches the Rfam family "Bacterial small subunit ribosomal RNA", at positions 524 to 776 of the family's 1533-position model. The record is from RNAcentral.